Long non-coding RNA from Mauremys reevesii (Reeves's turtle), 1359 nucleotides. RefSeq lists it as uncharacterized. The record is from RefSeq and is a predicted model, not a curated record. Lineage: Eukaryota; Metazoa; Chordata; Testudines; Geoemydidae. The transcript has 4 exons.
AGACGCCUUACGCCCUCCCGCCUCUUCGGAGGCUCCUUACACCCAGCCCGUCCCGCCCUCCUCAGCCCCCCCCCCCGCAGGGUGAUGCCGGAGAGCCCCCGAGCUCUGCACUAGCAUCAUGGAGAGCAGAGCCGAGGGCGGCCUGGAAGGCUGCAGGGGUUCCAGCGCUGCGGGGUGGAAGUGCCUCGGUUACAAGCGGCGGGCACCCCCGGUCAAGCGCGCUCCUCAGGGGGAGCCGGAGAGCGGCCUCUAUUGAGUCUGGUGUGCGGGCAGGGCCUGGGUCUCCUCAGCGCCAUCUACCGGACAGAGCCCUCAGUCUGAUGGACAGCGCGAUCAGCCAAUUAGGGCGCCCUCCCGCGUUCGUAGCCAGUGGCAGCGAACGGUUGUGAGGCCGCCCCCCCCAGAACGCGCCCCUCGGUUGGGUGGUUGAGCGGGCUGGGCUCGGCCCCCAGCUGCGUGCGGCGGGGCAGCGAAAGGCUGGCUGGGAAGUAAGCGUGAAAACUUCCACGGGCACGUUUGAAGUCUCCAGCCUCUCGGAUACGCACACCCGCGGCAGGCCGCGCAGCGCUUCUUCUCCGGUGCAGGCUCUUCCCAGGUGCCCCGUCAACCCCCGCCCCGUUUGUUUGCCCCCAGCCCUGUCUGUGAGGAACUGCUGCAGCGAUGAACGCCGACGGGUAACUGCCUAGAAAACUUGGGAAGCUAGAGUCAGUCUGAGCAGAACUGGGCCUCACGGCUUCCUUACACCUGAACACAGUAUUGCAGAGCUAGCUUCCUCACACUGCGUUAUAAAUCAAAUUCCUAGUGCAUUGGGAUAAGCCUCAGACACGCUGAACCCAUUCUUCUGGUGCCUCUACGAAGGUAUGACCAGAGAAUUCAGAGACUGAAAAGACCCAGCAAGUCAUCUAGUCCAGUCCUCGCCAGUGCAGGUUUCACGAACACUCCUGAAGGCUUUCCAGUAUGCUUUGCCACUAGAAAAUUCAUGACAAUAUCAUCACAGUUUUGAGUUUCAUCUAUCAAAGCAUGAACAGCAUCAGGCUGCUUUUGAAAGAGUUCUAGGUAUCCACUGUGAAAGAAUGCUGCUCCUAUGAGAACCAUGGAGUACUGGUCCCCAUUUCCAAAUCCAGGUGUCUGCAAUUCAAAGCUGCCAUAACUGUAUAUACCUGAAGAAGUGGAAACAUGCUUUCUAGGAACAAAUCCCACUAUCUGAUCUGGAAAUUGCUGGAAGAUCUGGAGUCUGUUCCUCAUGCGAUUCACAGUCUGCACUUUGAAGACAACAGGUACAGGAUGGGGUCCCAGGGAAUUCCACAUUUCCUCUGGUAUCUUCUCCCCAACAUUGUUCCACACAACAACCACUUUGUG